Nerophis lumbriciformis (worm pipefish) is the source of this 492-nucleotide non-coding RNA. The record is from RefSeq and is a predicted model, not a curated record. NCBI's taxonomy places the organism in Eukaryota, Metazoa, Chordata, Actinopteri, Syngnathiformes, Syngnathidae.
AUCCACCAACACUCAGGCUGGCAGUAUGCCAGGACAUGGGCCGGGCGCUUCACGCCCACGCAACGUCGCUGCUGCUGCAGACUAUCGGCUAUCUGCGCACCUGGCAAUAAUCAGGGAGACAGCAUAAAGACCAGUCGACCCUUGGAACCUACGCCGGAGCGUCGUUAACUCUUUGCAUACCCUUCUUGUCCCGUGUGCUCAAGCUCUGAGCCUCGACCUCUCUCCAGACUUUGGACUGCCUCCCUUGAUCCUCGACCCUCGUUUGGACACGGACCUUGUCGCUUCUCUCCUGCCCUCGACAACCUGCCUGUUUACGGACAUCCUUUUUGCCUCGCCCUCUUGGACUGCUGUAGUAUUCAUCCAUCACGCACUUACAACAUCCUCUGGUAUUAUUCACAUGGUUAAAAUCACACAUAGUCCUGCAACAAACACAUAGAGUAGCAUACACCUACCACACACUCAUCAAAGGUUACAAUAAACCCGGUAAACUGA